This 432-nucleotide ribosomal RNA is filed under the name uncultured bacterium. RNAcentral describes it as "partial 16S ribosomal RNA". It matches the Rfam family "Bacterial small subunit ribosomal RNA", at positions 29 to 507 of the family's 1533-position model. The record is from RNAcentral.
ACGAACGCUGGCGGCAGGCCUAACACAUGCAAGUCGAGCGGACCUUUCGGGGUCAGCGGCGGACGGGUGAGUAACGCGUGGGAAUAUGCCCUUCUCUACGGAAUAGUCCUGGGAAACUGGGGGUAAUACCGUAUACGCCCUUUGGGGGAAAGAUUUAUCGGGGAAGGAUUAGCCCGCGUUGGAUUAGGUAGUUGGUGGGGUAAUGGCCUACCAAGCCGACGAUCCAUAGCUGGUUUGAGAGGAUGAUCAGCCACACUGGGACUGAGACACGGCCCAGACUCCUACGGGAGGCAGCAGUGGGGAAUCUUAGACAAUGGGGGCAACCCUGAUCUAGCCAUGCCGCGUGAGUGAUGAAGGCCUUAGGGUUGUAAAGCUCUUUCAGCUGGGAAGAUAAUGACGGUACCAGCAGAAGAAGCCCCGGCUAACUCCGUG